AUGAUGAGUUUUGGUCGUUCAGAACUAUGACAACUCUUCCUGCGGCUGA
RNAcentral lists this small nucleolar RNA (49 nucleotides) under Pyrobaculum islandicum DSM 4184. RNAcentral describes it as "PISsR129". The record is from RNAcentral. Lineage: Archaea; Thermoproteati; Thermoproteota; Thermoprotei; Thermoproteales; Thermoproteaceae.